AGUCUUAACCGGGCGUUAAGUUGCAGGGUAUAGACCCGAAACCCGGUGAUCUAGCCAUGGGCAGGUUGAAGGUUGGGUAACACUAACUGGAGGACCGAACCGACUAAUGUUGAAAAAUUAGCGGAUGACCUGUGGCUGGGGGUGAAAGGCCAAUCAAACCGGGAGAUAGCUGGUUCUCCCCGAAAGCUAUUUAGGUAGCGCCUCGUGAAUUCAUCUCCGGGGGUAGAGCACUGUUUCGGCUAGGGGGCCAUCCCGGCUUACCAACCCGAUGCAAACUGCGAAUACCGGAGAAUGUUAUCACGGGAGACACACGGCGGGUGCUAACGUCCGUCGUGAAGAGGGAAACAACCCAGACCGCCAGCUAAGGUCCCAAAGUCAUGGUUAAGUGGGAAACGAUGUGGGAAGGCCCAGACAGCCAGGAUGUUGGCUUAGAAGCAGCCAUCAUUUAAAGAAAGCGUAAUAGCUCACUGGUCGAGUCGGCCUGCGCGGAAGAUGUAACGGGGCUAAACCAUGCACCGAAGCUGCGGCAGCGAACGUAUCACCCAAGACAACUUUACGGAGUUGACGAUUGACGGAGCGAAGCGACGUCAAAGCGUUCAUUAAAGUCGAGUUGGCUUAGGGAUACGUUCGUUGGGUAGGGGAGCGUUCUGUAAGCCUGUGAAGGUGUGUCGUGAGGCAUGCUGGAGGUAUCAGAAGUGCGAAUGCUGACAUAAGUAACGAUAAAGCGGGUGAAAAGCCCGCUCGCCGGAAGACCAAGGGUUCCUGUCCAACGUUAAUCGGGGCAGGGUGAGUCGACCCCUAAGGCGAGGCCGAAAGGCGUAGUCGAUGGGAAACGGGUUAAUAUUCCCGUACUUGGUGUUACUGCGAAGGGGGGACGGAGAAGGCUAUGUUGGCCGGGCGACGGUUGUCCCGGUUUAAGCGUGUAGGUGUGUGUUCCAGGUAAAUCCGGUUCACUUUAACACUGAGGCGUGACGACGAGGCACUACGGUGCUGAAGCAACAAAUGCCCUGCUUCCAGGAAAAGCCUCUAAGCAUCAGGUAACACGAAAUCGUACCCCAAACCGACACAGGUGGUCAGGUAGAGAAUACCAAGGCGCUUGAGAGAACUCGGGUGAAGGAACUAGGCAAAAUGGUGCCGUAACUUCGGGAGAAGGCACGCUGACAC
Molecule: ribosomal RNA, 1164 nt
Filed under: Salmonella enterica subsp. enterica serovar Typhimurium
Lineage: Bacteria; Pseudomonadati; Pseudomonadota; Gammaproteobacteria; Enterobacterales; Enterobacteriaceae
Description: partial 23S ribosomal RNA
Rfam family: Bacterial large subunit ribosomal RNA
Source: RNAcentral